Corapipo altera (White-ruffed manakin) is the source of this 734-nucleotide long non-coding RNA. RefSeq lists it as uncharacterized. The record is from RefSeq and is a predicted model, not a curated record. The transcript has 2 exons. Lineage: Eukaryota; Metazoa; Chordata; Aves; Passeriformes; Pipridae.
CACUUUCAUAAAGGUGUAGCCCCUCUACCACCUACUCUCUCUGCAUUACCUGCAGGUGGUUUUCCUGGCAAAGUGAUUUUGUAGAGUUUCUUCAGCAAUGACAGAAAGGAGUACUUCAGGUGACUACAAAACAUGCAUAGUUGCAACUAACAGACGCUGAACAAAAAAUCCUCUCAAAAGAUGUAAAAAAAACUUUUGAAAACUGAAGAAGACAGGACCUGAUCGAUGCAAAGUGUAGUAAUCCUGCGAGAAAGCUUUGCUGGGAGCUAGGUCUUAAUGUUAAGACUCCUUUCUCCUUUUAGUGGCUUAUGACUGCUUUUCUCCAGUGUCUCAGUGGUACUAACAUGCGAAUUUCAUCUGUACUAGAGCAAACUAGGAAAAGUUUAGUUUUGCACUAGAAUGAGAUACGUUUUUGGCUUGGGCUUAGGCAGCCUAGGCAGGUGUUCUUGAAUAAAUAUGACACCUGAAAACAUCUUUUUUGUUGGCCUUUUUUUUCAGUCUGUUUAAACAAAUGGCCAUUUUUAGUACCAUUGGGAAAUAAAAAUUACGAGAUUGUUAGCAAAAGUAAAAACUUCUUUCUGCACUCACUGAUUGCAUCUUGUUGUUAUGUGUGAUUCUUUGUGCCCAUACAAGAUACUAACUUUCUGAGGAAUUGUUUGGGUGAUGAUGUUAGUGACUGUUGGCGAGUGUUUUUCCUAUGAUGACCAUCAAAAUAAAAGCAUGUAGGCAAACAG